Long non-coding RNA from Ochotona curzoniae (black-lipped pika), 277 nucleotides. RefSeq lists it as uncharacterized. The record is from RefSeq and is a predicted model, not a curated record. The transcript has 3 exons. NCBI's taxonomy places the organism in Eukaryota, Metazoa, Chordata, Mammalia, Lagomorpha, Ochotonidae.
GAAAUGUGCUCUGCCAAUCUUGGAGACGAGAUAACCAAUGAUGACUGUGUGGAACAAGACAUGAAGAGUGACUCAGAAAACGAACAUAUUGAAAAUCUUCAGACUGAACAAAUACCUAUGAAGUCAGAAGAGACACAAUUUGGAAAUGAAAUUGGGACACAUCCACAGGAAGUCCCAAUAAGGACUGAAGUAUAUCAAGGAAAUGACAUGACGACUUGCAGCUGGAGAAUCAAAGUCCUUGAACAAGAAUUGGAAAGAACAAUCGAUUACUUUCAAA